AGAACGCUGGCGGUAGGCCUAACACAUGCAAGUCGAACGGCAGCACAGAGGAGCUUGCUCCUUGGGUGGCGAGUGGCGGACGGGUGAGGAAUACAUCGGAAUCUACUUUUUCGUGGGGGAUAACGUAGGGAAACUUACGCUAAUACCGCAUACGACCUACGGGUGAAAGCAGGGGACCUUCGGGCCUUGCGCGAUUGAAUGAGCCGAUGUCGGAUUAGCUAGUUGGCGGGGUAAAGGCCCACCAAGGCGACGAUCCGUAGCUGGUCUGAGAGGAUGAUCAGCCACACUGGAACUGAGACACGGUCCAGACUCCUACGGGAGGCAGCAGUGGGGAAUAUUGGACAAUGGGCGCAAGCCUGAUCCAGCCAUACCGCGUGGGUGAAGAAGGCCUUCGGGUUGUAAAGCCCUUUUGUUGGGAAAGAAAUCCAGCCGGCUAAUACCUGGUUGGGAUGACGGUACCCAAAGAAUAAGCACCGGCUAACUUCGUGCCAGCAGCCGCGGUAAUACGAAAGGGUGCAAGCGUUACUCGGAAUUACUGGGCGUAAAGCGUGCGUAG
RNAcentral lists this ribosomal RNA (556 nucleotides) under Pseudomonas sp. E88. RNAcentral's name for it is "bacterial SSU rRNA". It matches the Rfam family "Bacterial small subunit ribosomal RNA", at positions 30 to 574 of the family's 1533-position model. The record is from RNAcentral. Lineage: Bacteria; Pseudomonadati; Pseudomonadota; Gammaproteobacteria; Pseudomonadales; Pseudomonadaceae.